UAAGGGAAUCUUCCACAAUGGACGCAAGUCUGAUGGAGCAACGCCGCGUGAGUGAAGAAGGUCUUCGGAUCGUAAAACUCUGUUGUUAGAGAAGAACACGAGUGAGAGUAACUGUUCAUUCGAUGACGGUAUCUAACCAGCAAGUCACGGCUAACUACGUGCCAG
RNAcentral lists this ribosomal RNA (165 nucleotides) under uncultured bacterium. Its description in RNAcentral is "partial 16S rRNA". It matches the Rfam family "Bacterial small subunit ribosomal RNA", at positions 354 to 511 of the family's 1533-position model. The record is from RNAcentral.